Molecule: ribosomal RNA, 279 nt
Filed under: uncultured Lysobacterales bacterium
Lineage: Bacteria; Pseudomonadati; Pseudomonadota; Gammaproteobacteria; Lysobacterales
Description: uncultured Xanthomonadales bacterium partial 16S ribosomal RNA
Rfam family: Bacterial small subunit ribosomal RNA
Source: RNAcentral
UACGAAGGGUGCAAGCGUUACUCGGAAUUACUGGGCGUAAAGCGUGCGUAGGUGGUGGUUUAAGUCUGCUGUGAAAGCCCUGGGCUCAACCUGGGAAUUGCAGUGGAUACUGGAUCACUAGAGUGUGGUAGAGGGAUGCGGAAUUUCUGGUGUAGCAGUGAAAUGCGUAGAGAUCAGAAGGAACAUCCGUGGCGAAGGCGGCAUCCUGGGCCAACACUGACACUGAGGCACGAAAGCGUGGGGAGCAAACAGGAUUAGAUACCCUGGUAGUCAAGGGCG